RNAcentral lists this ribosomal RNA (1257 nucleotides) under Choanocystis sp. 21S_OpNCC. RNAcentral's name for it is "SSU rRNA". It matches the Rfam family "Eukaryotic small subunit ribosomal RNA", at positions 56 to 1277 of the family's 1831-position model. Lineage: Eukaryota; Centroplasthelida; Pterocystida; Choanocystidae. The record is from RNAcentral.
GGUUCAGGUCAAAAUAGCCCCAGAUGGUGAAUCUGCGAAUGGCUCAUUAAAUCAGUUAUUGUUUAUUUGAUGGUACCUUACUACAUGGAUAACCGUAGUAAUUCUAGAGCUAAUACAUGCGUCAAGCCCCGACUUUUGCGGAAGGGGUGCAUUUAUUAGAUUCAAACCAUCAGUCCCCGUCUGGGGGUAACUCUGGGCGGACGACUUUUCGAUGGCGAGUCAUAAUAACUGAGCGAAUCGAAUGACUUUACGUCGUCGAUGCUUCAUUCAAAUUUCUGCCCUAUCAGCUUUCGAUGGUAGGAUCUUGGCCUACCAUGGCUAUAACGGGUAACGGGGAAUUAGGGUUCGGUUCCGGAGAGGGAGCUUGAGAAACGGCUACCACAUCUAAGGAUGGCAGCAGGCGCGCAAAUUACCCAAUCCCGACACGGGGAGGUAGUGACAAUAAAUAACAAUGCUGGACUAUUUUAGUCCGGCAAUUGGAAUGAGAGUAAUUUAAAUCAAUUCUCGAGUAGCCAUUGGAGGGCAAGUCUGGUGCCAGCAGCCGCGGUAAUUCCAGCUCCAAUAGCGUAUAUUAAAGUUGUUGCAGUUAAAAAGCUCGUAGUCUGACCCUUGGCCGGCGUUUGAGCGUCCGUGGCGAAAGCCACGCGCAUGCGACGCGCCGUUUGCCACUUGUACUUUGGAGGAGUGCCUCUGUCGGGGGCUUCGCGCCUUCGGCUGGAGGGUUACACGAGUCCAAUAGUUUACUUUGAGAAAAAUAGAGUGUUCAAAGCAGGCAGACCUUCGCCUUGAAUACAUUAGCAUGGGAUAAUGAAAUAGGACAUUGGUUCUAUUUUGUUGGUUUUUUCAGGACCGAUGUAAUGAUUAAUAGGGACAGUUGGGGACAUUCAUAUUCCAUGGCUAGAGGUGAAAUUCUUAGAUUCAUGGAAGAUGAACUACUGCGAAAGCAUUUGUCAAAGAUGUUUUCAUUGAUCAAGAACGAAAGUUAGGGGAGCAAAGACGAUCAGAUACCGUCGUAGUCUUAACCAUAAACGAUGCCGACUAGGGAUCGGUGGGCGAUAGUUUUCAAUGUCUCCAUCGGCACCUCGUGGGAAACCAAGUCUUUGGGUUCCGGGGGGAAUUUGGUCCCAAGGCUGAAACUUAAAGGAAUUGACGGAAGGGCCCCCCAGGAGGGAACUGCGGCUUAUUUGAUCAACCGGGAAACUCCCGGUCCAAAUGGGAAGGAUGACAAAUGAAAACCUUUUUGUAUCCCGAAAGGGG